Long non-coding RNA from Xenopus tropicalis (tropical clawed frog), 2450 nucleotides. RefSeq lists it as uncharacterized. The record is from RefSeq and is a predicted model, not a curated record. The transcript is spliced from 3 exons. NCBI's taxonomy places the organism in Eukaryota, Metazoa, Chordata, Amphibia, Anura, Pipidae.
UGCUAGAUAAGUGGCACAAAUACUUACCUAACAGCCACCCAUGAGGCAUCCUGUCUCAAAAGAUUGGUAAAGUGCGGACUGCCUUAGGAUGUAAGCAUCGUGAGAGGAGCCGGGGAACCCAGACACGAUGCUCAGGAUGUUCAUAUGGCCAUCACACACCACUUGUAUGUUGAGGGAGUGGUAACUCUUCCUGUUUCUAAAAAUGUGCUCCCUGUGGGGGGGAGGGGGUUAAACACCACAUGGAUGCAGUCAAUUGCACCCAACACAUUGGGGAUGCCACUUACCCCUUAAAAAUCCCUCUUCACGACAUUCCACUCGUUUUGAUGUUGUGGGAAUGAGAUGAAAUUCCUGGACAGCGAGCGGAUGGCAUCCAGGACCUGGCCAAGGCACCGUGAAAAGGUGGGCUGUGACACCCCCCCAUAAACCCCCCCGACCCUCUGGAAACUGCCAGUCGCCAAAAAGUGCAGGGAGCACAGCAGGUUGACCAUCCCGGGCACAGCACGGCUUCGGCGAGUCAGUGGUUUCAGGGAAGGCUCAAGCAACUCAUACAGGCUGGAUAUUGCUGCCCUGUUGAGCCUGUACCGCCUGACCUCUUCAUCCUCGCUUAAGCCCUCUAACGUGGCCUUUUGCGAAAAAGCCAAGGUCACAUCACUCGGGAAGGCUGGGGGUGUUGCUGCUCCUCCUCCUCCAAGUCAAGUAACAGCCCAUAAGCAUACUCCAUACUCCAAACACUCAAAAAUUAAAAAUGUGCUCUGCCCAACGCCUCCCCCAAUCAGGUGCUAAAAUACACACACAUUUGCGCGCUAAUUAACGCACUUAACGCUUUAUGUGCUUUUGUGAAUCAUUUGUUCGCAUUCUUUUCAUUUGCUAAUUACCGCAUUGCGAUAAAAUUAACGCAUGCGAUUGCACACGAAUUAGCGCAUGCGAUAUGCAACUAAACGCAUGCGGUAAUACUGUUGUGAAUCACACGCUAAUUGUCGCUUCUUUUUUAAGGCAAAAAAAGUGCGAUAAAACUUAUCGCACUUUAGUGAAUCAACCCUAAUGUCUUUCUCCGAGUUAUGUAAGUAUCUCCAGGUGUCUACUAAUUGACAUUGGUGAAUUUUUAUUUUUAUUUUAUUAAACGCUGAAUAUGGUAUGUAUGUUUGGCCUUUAGAGUUAUCUAUGGUCGGAUUCAAGGCAUGUUUAGGUCUCCUCCCAGGGUUAAUACCCCUUCUGCAAAAGUUUCUAUUUUAUUCAAGAGUUUGGUUAGGUAACCCGCCUGGUUAGUAUUUGGUGAGUAUAAAAAUCCAAUUGUACAUUUGGUGUGGCCUAGUAGACCUUUAACUAUUACGUAUCUCCCUUCUGCAUCUUUUAGUUCUUCCAUUAAUUGGAAGUCUAUUGAUUUAUGCAGUCCCAGUGCUACUCAUUUAACCUUAUUGUCUUGGUCAUUACUAUAAAACCAAGUGGGGUAUUCCCUGAAAUUCUGAAGGUAAAAGUCUGAGCCUUUAAAAUGUGUUUCCUGUAACAUGACUAUAUGUCCCUUGUUCCUUGAUAUUUCCCUUAUAAUUUUGCUUCUUUUCUCUGGCAGGUUUAACCCAUUAACAUUGAGAGAGUGAACAUUGAUCACAUUUGACAUAUUUUACAUGAGUAUAUUCUUAUAUUGACUAGCAGACUAAUGCAGUUACCGUUUGUACUUGGUAAAUUACUCUUUGGUCGGUCAGAAAGAUAGAUGAGAUUAUUAAGGGCUAGAACUAUAUACAUCUAAACAUACAAAAAACAGUUGUAGUAUGGAAGUUUCUUUAUAGUGUUGUUCAUACAUAUGGGGUUAUAUAGAUUGGGACCAAUACAGAACCAAUUUUCGCCAGGAUAAACCUGUCGGUACCCCUGGGGGGGGGAGCAGUACCGAAUGGUAGAAAGACAUAGGUGUUAUAGCUCUGAACUUUAGUUACAUCAGUUAUAAGUUACAUGACAUUUACCAGAAACCUUAUUUUUCAUACUUAUUAAUGCUUAUAUCACCUGUUGUGCUGUAUGAGGUUUAAAGUUCAAGAGUUAAUGGCAUUGUUUUUUUCAAUAGUUUGUUUGAGUUUUUUCCUUUUGUUUUAGGUGUGGUGACCAGGGACCACGAGUCCUUCUUUGGAAGAUCCAGGAUUUGUGGUGCUUGGUUGUAUCUUCUCCAUUCCUCUACAUCGGGUUCCUCUAUGCCGCAGGCUUUGCAGAACUUCGAGAUGUCAUCUGGGCUUGUUAAUUAAGCCAGGAUCUCCUCUUUUACUUCAAAGCGUGUCAGACAGCAUAUAACGUCCCUUGGGUUGUCUAGCCCUUGGCGGGGUGCAACCCCAUCUUGGCCCCUUGCGAUGCCUGCUCCAAUUCUGCCAAAGUGAAGAACUGCUUCAAUAAUUGCUGUGAUUCCGAAGAUUUGUGCUUCCUACCCUCCUCUCCACUUUGUUCUUUUGUUUUAUUGUGUUUUUCCAUUA